CGGCACUGCUAGGUGACUGGGCUUCCUGUGCGGUGGUCUUCCAGUCUUAUUGUGGUGCAAGAACAACCUCAGUUUGCAGAAGGGUUGAGCUAGACCACUGGCUCCCCCCUUUCGAAGGCUGAGAACAAGC
Molecule: non-coding RNA, 130 nt
Organism: Nerophis lumbriciformis (worm pipefish)
Lineage: Eukaryota; Metazoa; Chordata; Actinopteri; Syngnathiformes; Syngnathidae
Source: RefSeq, a predicted model, not a curated record